RNAcentral lists this ribosomal RNA (1346 nucleotides) under uncultured bacterium. RNAcentral describes it as "partial 16S ribosomal RNA". It matches the Rfam family "Bacterial small subunit ribosomal RNA", at positions 28 to 1381 of the family's 1533-position model. The record is from RNAcentral.
GACGAACGCUGGCGGCGUGCUUAACACAUGCAAGUCGAACGGAAAGGCCCUGCUUUUGUGGGGUGCUCGAGUGGCGAACGGGUGAGUAACACGUGAGUAACCUGCCCUUGACUUUGGGAUAACUUCAGGAAACUGGGGCUAAUACCGGAUAGGAGCUCCUGCUGCAUGGUGGGGGUUGGAAAGUUUCGGCGGUUGGGGAUGGACUCGCGGCUUAUCAGCUUGUUGGUGGGGUAGUGGCUUACCAAGGCUUUGACGGGUAGCCGGCCUGAGAGGGUGACCGGCCACAUUGGGAUUGAGAUACGGCCCAGACUCCUACGGGAGGCAGCAGUGGGGAACAUUGCACAAUGGGCGGAAGCCUGAUGCAGCAACGCCGCGUGCGGGAUGACGGCCUUCGGGUUGUAAACCGCUUUCGCCUGUGACGAAGCGUGAGUGACGGUAAUGGGUAAAGAAGCACCGGCUAACUACGCGCCAGCAGCCGCGGUGAUACGUAGGGUGCGAGCGUUGUCCGGAUUUAUUGGGCGUAAAGGGCUCGUAGGUGGUUGAUCGCGUCGGAAGUGUAAUCUUGGGGCUUAACCCUGAGCGUGCUUUCGAUACGGGUUGACUUGAGGAAGGUAGGGGAGAAUGGAAUUCCUGGUGGAGCGGUGGAAUGCGCAGAUAUCAGGAGGAACACCAGUGGCGAAGGCGGUUCUCUGGGCCUUUCCUGACGCUGAGAAGCGAAAGCGUGGGGAGCGAACAGGCUUAGAUACCCUGGUAGUCCACGCUGUAAACGGUGGGUACUAGGUGUGGGGUCCAUUCCACGGGUUCCGUGCCGUAGCUAACGCUUUAAGUACCCCGCCUGGGGAGUACGGCCGCAAGGCUAAAACUCAAAGGAAUUGACGGGGCCCCGCACAAGCGGCGGAGCAUGCGGAUUAAUUCGAUGCAACGCGUAGAACCUUACCUGGGUUUGACAUGGAUCGGGAGUGCUCAGAGAUGGGUGUGCCUCUUUUGGGGUCGGUUCACAGGUGGUGCAUGGCUGUCGUCAGCUCGUGUCGUGAGAUGUUGGGUUAAGUCCCGCAACGAGCGCAACCCUUGUUCACUGUUGCCAGCACGUUAUGGUGGGGACUCAGUGGAGACCGCCGGGGUCAACUCGGAGGAAGGUGGGGAUGACGUCAAGUCAUCAUGCCCCUUAUGUCCAGGGCUUCACGCAUGCUACAAUGGCUGGUACAGAGAGUGGCGAGCCUGUGAGGGUGAGCGAAUCUCGGAAAGUCGGUCUCAGUUCGGAUUGGGGUCUGCAACUCGACCUCAUGAAGUCGGAGUCACUAGUAAUCGCAGAUCAGCAACGCUGCGGUGAAUACGUUCCCGGGGCU